Molecule: ribosomal RNA, 448 nt
Filed under: uncultured bacterium
Lineage: Bacteria
Description: partial 16S ribosomal RNA
Rfam family: Bacterial small subunit ribosomal RNA
Source: RNAcentral
UACAGACUCCUACGGGAGGCAGCAGUGGGGAAUAUUGGGCAAUGGGCGCAAGCCUGACCCAGCAACGCCGCGUGAAGGAAGAAGGCUUUCGGGUUGUAAACUUCUUUUAUGAGGGACGAAAGAAAUGACGGUACCUCAUGAAUAAGCCACGGCUAACUACGUGCCAGCAGCCGCGGUAAUACGUAGGGGGCGAGCGUUAUCCGGAUUUAUUGGGCGUAAAGAGUUCGUAGGCGGUUUGUUAAGUCUAAAAUUCAAGCCCGAGGCUUAACCUCGGUUCGUUUUAGAAACUGGCAGACUUGAGUGUGGUAGAGGCAAGUGGAAUUUCUAGUGUAGCGGUUAAAUGCGUAGAUAUUAGAAGGAACACCAGUGGCGAAGGCGGCUUGCUGGGCCAUUACUGACGCUGAGGAACGAAAGCGUGGGGAGCAAAUAGGAUUAGAUACCCGAGUAC